UCGGACCUGGGGGGGGGGGGGGAGGUAGGCGGGCAGAUAAAGUGUGGAGGAAAGGAUGACUUAGGGGAGAGGGGGAAGCCCUGGGAGAACAAAGCUCCGGGCCGUCGGCCUCCCAAGAGUCGCAGAAGUGACCGCCACGGGCUCGUGCACAGGCGGAAGCGGGGGGAGGGAGAGAGGCCGGGCCUAAAGCGCCCUCGCAGGUUUGGAAAACGCUGAGAGGGCACAGGGGGUGGGGAAAGUCGGAACCCGUAGCUAAAGGUUUGGCCCUCAGGCUAGUUUUUAAGGAAAUGGAUCUCAGGAAGGGGAGGAGGCACCACGCGCCCCGGAGAGGUAGGAGGGAGAAGCCCUGUCCCCCUCACCCCCCCCCCAACCCCCAGCUAGCAGAGCGUGUGCGGUGACCGACCUCCGCGCUCUGGACCAGGAGGGGGACGGAGCCGUCUGGCCGCCGCGGGCCUGUGCUUCCGCACCCCCCAGCUCUGCGCGUCGCCUGUCCCCGAGCGCCUCGCCUCCCAACUGUAAUCCCACACUCCCGCGAGCGCUGGGGCUGCGGAAUCGUUUGAGUUGGAACUGCAUCAGAUGAGAACGCCGGGAGACGCGAAAAUUGGACACGUGGAGACUGGGUGCAGACUCAAACAAUGGUUUCCAGCAGCGGAGCGAAAGGAGGCACCUUCCCAGCCUCCGCGCAUGGUCAAGCCAUCUCCUCCAGCAUGGCCGUGGUGCACUUCUGGCCGCAGAGCUCCUACGCUGCAGCCUGGGUAUGGAGAUGGGGUGGGUAUCCAUGCAGGGGAGCAGUCCCUCCCCCAGCCCCGCGGCCCAAGCCAGUGGGGGGCAGGGACCAAGGGAUGUGAGAUUCAGGAAGGGAAACACAACACGGCAGACAGACCCCAAAAGCAGUUCAGGACUUGCAGCCUGAGACCGAAGAGAGGGAGAGAAACCCAGGCGAAGGCUGUUGGGCCUUGACUCCUGAAGGGGAGGCCUUCCCCCCCCCCCCCCCCCCGCCCAGGGGUUGCCCUAGGGGAAGGUGGGGAGAAAUGGCCGCAGUGUCCGCACUGUGUCCGGCGCAGGUCCUGGGGCCCCACCACCUCCCGUCAGGCUGUGCUUCGCUCCUAGCAGGAGUCAGAAGCAAGCAAACCGGCCAGGACUGAGAAUUCAGAGGCCACGGGUGGCAGGUCAGCGGCGGCGCCCCAAAGAGAGACCCCAAGAGAGGCCUUUCUUCCACCGCAACCCCAGGGAGGCUACUGAGUUCUGCAAAGCCGCAGGAAGACUACAACAUCCCGAUGUGGAGAAAAAUGAGAGGAAACGCCAUUAAACUUGCUUCCUCCAAGGGGCACUACCCCCAGUUUUCUCUGAACUGUACCUAAAAAGUCAGGAGAGAGAACUCAUUCACUUUUGUUUGGUUUAACAUUGCCAGCUUCAAGUCAACCGUGGGCCCCCCGAAGGUUUCGUAAAAUAUUUAAUCUAGCUCAGACAAUUUCCUGCAGUCCCUAACCGGACCACCCCACUUACUGAACAACUGCCAAAAAGCAGGCUUGACUGCGGGCUGGCAACCGCGGGCCUUCCAGCGGCCUGUACCCUGCACGCAGGAGCCUGGACAAGGCCCUUCACAGAAUCCAGGGACACCAGGUCUGGGUUACCUGGGAGGCCCAAAGCGGUAAGGAAGGAAGAAGCCCAGGAAAUGAAGUUAAAGACACUUGCUUUUCUCACUAAGUUUGUGCUGUCUGUAUGACCCGCUGGCCCUCACCCUCCCCGAAGUCUGUGAAAUGGGCCUGUGGAUGUCUCACCUCCCUGGCGUGCUGUGCGUUUUGGAGAGCAGCACUGGGGGGGGGGGGGGGGGUGACUCCCUGUGUGCCGCCCUGCGCCCUCUACUCUCAUCCGUUCGCUGUUUUCCUCCCAAGCAUCUCACCAGGGAACCUAGCCAGCCAGAAAGGGAUCCUUCGACUGCGCUGAGCCUCAGCCCCUUCCAAACGUGAGGCUCACGGGGAGAACUCCUGCUCUGCCCAGUUUCCAUUCCUGCUUCCAGAAUAACGAGCCGAAAACAUGUGUACUGUAAAUAAAGCCUGUCUAAAUAAAGCA
Molecule: long non-coding RNA, 2073 nt
Filed under: Felis catus (domestic cat)
Lineage: Eukaryota; Metazoa; Chordata; Mammalia; Carnivora; Felidae
Description: lncRNA (ENSFCAG00000046493.2)
Source: RNAcentral